GCUUUCGUGGUGUAGUGGUCAGCACGCUCGACGCGUAACCGAGAGUUCCGUGGUUCGAUUCCCGGCAAAGGCG
RNAcentral lists this transfer RNA (73 nucleotides) under Stegodyphus mimosarum. It matches the Rfam family "tRNA". From Rfam's summary of the family: Transfer RNA (tRNA) molecules are approximately 80 nucleotides in length. Their secondary structure includes four short double-helical elements and three loops (D, anti-codon, and T loops). The record is from Rfam by way of RNAcentral. Lineage: Eukaryota; Metazoa; Arthropoda; Arachnida; Araneae; Eresidae.